UUGCCCACCUGGACUGCUGUGUCCUGGGUGACUAACACAGGGGGCAUAGCACCUCUCUCAUAAACCUGUGGUGAAGGUUCAAUUCCUCACCGCGGAUCCUGUCGGGAGAAACACAC
RNAcentral lists this small nucleolar RNA (116 nucleotides) under Neogobius melanostomus (round goby). Its description in RNAcentral is "Small nucleolar RNA SNORA26 (ENSNMLG00000003172.1)". It matches the Rfam family "Small nucleolar RNA SNORA26". From Rfam's summary of the family: The snoRNA HBI-6 belong to the H/ACA family of snoRNAs, guiding the pseudouridylation of position U4522 if the 28S rRNA. HBI-6 is the human orthologue of mouse MBI-6 snoRNA. The record is from Rfam by way of RNAcentral. Lineage: Eukaryota; Metazoa; Chordata; Actinopteri; Gobiiformes; Gobiidae.